AUUGAACGCUGGCGGCAGGCCUAACACAUGCAAGUCGAACGAGUGGCGGACGGGUGAGUAAUGUCUGGGAAACUGCCUGAUGGAGGGGGAUAACUACUGGAAACGGUAGCUAAUACCGCAUACCAUCGGAUGAGCCCAGAUGGGAUUAGCUAGUAGGUGGGGUAAAGGCUCACCUAGGCGACGAUCCCUAGCUGGUCUGAGCGGAUGACCAGCCACACGGGAACUGAGACACGGGCCAGACGCCGACGGGAGGCAGCAGUGGGGAAUAUUGCACAAGGGGCUCAAUGCUGAUGCAGCCAUGCCGCGUGUAGGAAGAAGGCCUUCGGGUUGUAAAGUACUUUCAGCGGGGAGGCGUUACCCGCAGAAGAAGCACCGGCUAACUCCGUGCCAGCAGCCGCGGUAAUAC
This 406-nucleotide ribosomal RNA is filed under the name uncultured bacterium. RNAcentral describes it as "partial 16S ribosomal RNA". It matches the Rfam family "Bacterial small subunit ribosomal RNA", at positions 29 to 526 of the family's 1533-position model. The record is from RNAcentral.